This 61-nucleotide small RNA is filed under the name Cricetulus griseus (Chinese hamster). The record is from RNAcentral. Lineage: Eukaryota; Metazoa; Chordata; Mammalia; Rodentia; Cricetidae.
CCGACCCUGCUUAGCUUCCAAGAUCAGACAAGAUGGGGCACGUUCAGGGUGGUAUGGCCGU